AUUGAACGCUGGCGGCAGGCCUAACACAUGCAAGUCGAGCGGAUGAAGGGAGCUUGCUCCUGGAUUCAGCGGCGGACGGGUGAGUAAUGCCUAGGAAUCUGCCUGGUAGUGGGUGAUAACGUCCGGACACGGGCGCUAAUACCGCAUACGUCCUGAGGGAGAAAGUGGGGGAUCUUCGGACCUCACGCUAUCAGAUGAGCCUAGGUCGGAUUAGCUAGUUGGUGGGGUAAAGGCCUACCAAGGCGACGAUCCGUAACUGGUCUGAGAGGAUGAUCAGUCACACUGGAACUGAGACACGGUCCAGACUCCUACGGGAGGCAGCAGUGGGGAAUAUUGGACAAUGGGCGAAAGCCUGAUCCAGCCAUGCCGCGUGUGUGAAGAAGGUCUUCGGAUUGUAAAGCACUUUAAGUUGGGAGGAAGGGCAGUAAGUUAAUACCUUGCUGUUUUGACGUUACCAACAGAAUAAGCACCGGCUAACUUCGUG
RNAcentral lists this ribosomal RNA (484 nucleotides) under uncultured bacterium. RNAcentral's name for it is "partial 16S ribosomal RNA". It matches the Rfam family "Bacterial small subunit ribosomal RNA", at positions 30 to 507 of the family's 1533-position model. The record is from RNAcentral.